This 226-nucleotide ribosomal RNA is filed under the name Belostoma sp. 4 TBG-2019. Its description in RNAcentral is "partial large subunit ribosomal RNA". The record is from RNAcentral. Lineage: Eukaryota; Metazoa; Arthropoda; Insecta; Hemiptera; Belostomatidae. RNAcentral also lists the same sequence under 1 other name.
CACUUGUCUCUUAAUUGGAGGCUUGAAUGAAGGGUUGGACGAGAUAUAGACUUUCUUUAUUAUAAUUAGUUGAAUUUGACUUUUGAGUCAAAAGGCUUAAAUUUAUUUAUAGGACGAGAAGACCCUAUAGAAUUUUAUAUUUUUAUAUUAAUAAUUUAUUUGUUUAUAAUUAGAUUUUUUAUCUAAAAAUAUUUUGUUGGGGCGAUGGGAAGAUUUUUUUAACUCU